RNAcentral lists this ribosomal RNA (372 nucleotides) under uncultured organism. RNAcentral describes it as "partial 16S ribosomal RNA". It matches the Rfam family "Bacterial small subunit ribosomal RNA", at positions 527 to 896 of the family's 1533-position model. The record is from RNAcentral.
GUAGGUGGCAAGCGUUGUCCGGAAUUAUUGGGCGUAAAGCGCGCGCAGGCGGUUCUUUAAGUCUGAUGUGAAAGCCCACGGGCUCAACCGUGGAGGGUCAUUGGAAACUGGAGAACUUGAGUACAGAAGAGGAAAGCGGAAUUCCACGUGUAGCUGUGAAAUGCGUAGAGAUGUGGAGGAACACCAGUGGCGAAGGCGGCUUUCUGGUCUGUAACUGACGCUGAGGCGCGAAAGCGUGGGGAGCAAACAGGAUUAGAUACCCUGGUAGUCCACGCCGUAAACGAUGAGUGCUAAGUGUUAGGGGGUUUCCGCCCCUUAGUGCUGCAGCUAACGCAUUAAGCACUCCGCCUGGGGAGUACGGCCGCAAGGCUG